AAUUGACCUCGGAUCAGGUAGGGAUACCCGCUGAACUUAAGCAUAUCAAUAAGCGGAGGAAAAGAAACCAACAGGGAUUGCCUCAGUAACGGCGAGUGAAGCGGCAACAGCUCAAAUUUGAAAUCUGGUCCUUUCAGGGCCCGAGUUGUAAUUUGUAGAGGAUGUUUCGGGUGCGACGCGGGUCUAAGUCCUUUGGAACAGGGCGUCAUAGAGGGUGAGAAUCCCGUAUGUGACCCGUGAUCAAGCCCAUGUGAAACCCCUUCGACGAGUCGAGUUGUUUGGGAAUGCAGCUCAAAAUGGGUGGUAAAUUUCAUCUAAAGCUAAAUACCGGCCAGAGACCGAUAGCGCACAAGUAGAGUGAUCGAAAGAUGAAAAGCACUUUGGAAAGAGAGUCAAAAAGUACGUGAAAUUGUUGAAAGGGAAGCGCUUGCAACCAGACCUGUCCGCAGGCGAUCAGCCCUCGUUCUCGGGGGUGCACUCGUCUGUGAUCAGGCCAGCAUCGGUUCGGGCGGUCGGAUAAAGGCCUUGGGAAUGUGGCUCCUUUCGGGGAGUGUUAUAGCCCUCGGUGCAAUGCGGCCAGCCCGGACCGAGGACCGCGCCUUCGGGCUAGGAUGCUGGCGUAAUGGUUGUAAGCGACCCGUCUUGAAACACGGACCAAGGAGUCUAACAUCUAUGCAAGUGUUUGGGUGUCAAACCCAUACGCGUAAUGAAAGUGAACGGAGGUGAGAACCCUUAAGGGCGCAUCAUCGACCGAUCCAGAUGUCUUCGGAUGGAUUUGAGUAUGAGCAUAGCUGUUGGGACCCGAAAGAUGGUGAACUAUGCCUGAAUAGGGUGAAGCCAGGGGAAACCCUGGUGGAGGCUCGCAGCGGUUCUGACGUGCAAAUCGAUCGUCAAAUUUGGGUAUAGGGGCGAAAGACUAAUCGAACCAUCUAGUAGCUGGUUCCUGCC
RNAcentral lists this ribosomal RNA (948 nucleotides) under Cladonia chlorophaea. Its description in RNAcentral is "eukaryotic LSU rRNA". It matches the Rfam family "Eukaryotic large subunit ribosomal RNA", at positions 1 to 962 of the family's 3401-position model. Lineage: Eukaryota; Fungi; Ascomycota; Lecanoromycetes; Lecanorales; Cladoniaceae. The record is from RNAcentral.